UUUGUCCUACGGGGCGCAGCAGUAGGGAAUUUUCGUCAAUGGGCGCAAGCCUGAACGAGCAAUGCCGCGUGAACGAGGAAGGUCUUCGGAUCGUAAAGUUCUGUUGAAGGGGAAAAAGAGCGGAGAGAGGAAAUGAACUCCGAUUGAUAUUACCCUUCGAGGAAGUCACGGCUAACUACGUGCCAGCAGCCACGGUAAUACGUAGGUGGCGAGCGUUAUCCGGAAUGAUUGGGCGUAAAGGGUGCGUAGGCGGUCCUGCAAGUCUGGAGUGAAACGCAUGAGCUCAACUCAUGCAUGGCUUUGGA
RNAcentral lists this ribosomal RNA (305 nucleotides) under uncultured bacterium. Its description in RNAcentral is "bacterial SSU rRNA". It matches the Rfam family "Bacterial small subunit ribosomal RNA", at positions 333 to 630 of the family's 1533-position model. The record is from RNAcentral.